Molecule: long non-coding RNA, 6346 nt
Organism: Lytechinus variegatus (green sea urchin)
Lineage: Eukaryota; Metazoa; Echinodermata; Echinoidea; Temnopleuroida; Toxopneustidae
Exons: 7
Source: RefSeq, a predicted model, not a curated record
UACGUGUACAACAAGCAAAAUUACAGAUGCGAGAGCGACUCCCAAAACCCGGAUAAUUUUCCUCAGAAGACGAGAUUAUGACAGAACUGGGCAUUAUCCUGGUCACAAGGCCCAGAACUGCAGAGGAGAAGGAUGAUGUGCUAGUUACUUGAAUCUAAACAGGAAUUUGCAGCUACUCAUCCUGAUGGUUUCUGAUGGAACCAAGAAGGAGCAACAAGUUCAGAUGAACGGUAAGGCGGUGGAGCAGUAGGUACAAGUUCAGAUGUCCGCAGGGAUGAUAGUCACCACGUAACACACCCUGUAUGCUGCAACUGCAGAGAGCUGAGGCUUGUGAAGUUGGAAGAAGAAGACCCGAUCAAAUUCUCUACUGAUCAGGGCAUGGCACACUGGUUCAGAUGAUCAAACCGUCAUUACCGUACCGCAGUGUCUUCAAUUGUGAGCAGUUUGAGACGGUGACUCAUCAGGUGAUAUGAAGAUUUCAUAAUGCACAAGGGCAAGGUCUGUUUGAUCUAGGCAUCCUCUUGAAUGCUCAGACUUCCCCUACAAGGUCACUGACGGAUCUCAGCUUUUUAUCCAGUGUCGUCACAUCCUUAGCCAAUUCUAACAAGAAGUCGGAAGAGGGCCCUAAUCAUUCACAACAGGGCAUACAUAUAUCGAUUCAGAUCGAAUUGGAUGGGUGGAGGUUUUUCAACUUACUCUACUGAAAUAUGGUCAUGAACAUACUGAAGAAGACAGAAGAGGACUCUAGUCAUUCACAACAGAUUCUCCAUCUCAGACCCUACAAAUCAUAUCGAAAGGGGACCAGGAUGUACAAGGAGGAGACAAUGUCUCAAAGGCUUUUGAUGCUCUCACCAAGGCACUCAUUACAUCAGGGGACUCAGAAGCACUGGGUUUCAGAUAUAUGCUCCAUCUCAGACCCUACAAAUCAUAUCAAAUGAUGACCAGGAUGGUUAAGGAAGGGACAAUGUCUCAAAGGCUGUUGAUGCUCUUACCAAGGCACAUCAGGUGACUCGGAAGCAGGAUGUUUAAGGUGCUGAUCCGCAAUACUGCCCUCUCCUCUACUACGUCUUCAACAGGGCGCCCUCUCUGUCAACACUCCAUGGAUAUUGACUGUUAUGAGAAAUGCUACUUUCAACCUUCAGUCUUGGCCCAGCAUGAAGGAGACAUUGGUUUGUACAAACAAGCCAGGAUGAUGUGAUCAAAGGGUUGCAACUUCUUUCUACCAUGGCCCAGCUUGGAGAUAUUGGAACAAGCUUGGAUGACGUGAUCCAAGGGAUCCAACUUCUUUCUACCUGCAGUCUUGGCCCAGCUUGAAGGAGACAUUGGGACAAGCCAGGAUGACGUGAUCAGAGGGAUGCUGCUUCUUUCAACCCGCAGACUUGGCCCAGCUUGAAGGAGACAUUGGUUUGUACAAACAAGCCAGGAUGACGUGAUCAGAGGGAUACAACUUCUUUCAACCCGCAGACUUGGCCCGACAUGGAGAGAAAUACUUGAGGGGGUAUCUCACUGAGCGGCAAAUGCUUGCAAAUGUUGUGAAAUUGUGAUUCACCAGCUUUUCUGACAAGUGAUGCAAACUCUUACAAAUGUUUGUAGUUGGUAUAAAUAUUUAUAUUUACAAACUGCUUCAAAACAGUUUAAUCAGUGGGUUGAAUUCAUACAGGAGCCAUGUGGUUGCCAGCAUAUGCGAAUCGAAAUUACGACUGUUUUGAAAAACAUCUUCAAAAUGUCUUUUUGACAAGAAAAACUGUUCGCAACAAUGAAAACUGUUUACAAAGUUUCUUGCAAUCUUUUACAAGCCCCGGUAAAAUCUCAAUUUUGCUAUGUUUACAAGCAUUUGCUGCUCAGUGAGAUAUGCCCUUUAUUGAGUGCAUUCAAAAUAAUGUGUGACCUGCCACCACAAAAACCAACAAUUAUUAAUCCAAUAUGAAUUUUGAAAAUUUUCUCAUGCUCGGGAAAGCACAUUUCAAAACUUUCAUACAAUCUAUGAUUUGUCAAAAUUGAUCAAGAAUAACUCUCACAAGUACUUGAGUGUAGAAGAAGUUCAUUGAGAGCUUUUAAAUAUAAGGGGGGAAAAGGGUUUGAAGUUCAGAAUUAACUCAAGCAUGAGAUUUUUUUUUCAUGUUAAAAUCUUGGUUAAAAUUCAUGGUAAAAACUUUAAUUAAUUUAACAUUUCAAUUUCAAAAUAUGACAGUAUGAACAAGAGGAAUUACUUUUCAGAUACGCCAAUACUUCAGUAUUUAUUUUUUGAAGACCAAAUUAUUGUUUUAGCCGUUUACAGAGAACUUUCCUUAGUGAUAUAUUUUUGGUUGUUUGGUUGGCUGGUCACAUAUAUGUCUGGGCCCAUUUCAUAAAGUCUUCCUAGUUAACUUUGCCAUUAUGGUAACUACCAUGGAAACCUUGAUUGUGAUUGGCUGCUGAGCCCUGUUACCAUGGUAGUUGACAUAAUAACAAAGUUACCAUGGUUAUAAUUCUUUAUGAAAUGGGCCUAUCAAUUAUUUGACUUUACCCCUCACUUGCCAUAUGUAUUAUCCCAUUUGCACAAUUUUUGACUUGCGAAAAAGUGUGAUUUGUUGACUUUAUGGUACAUGACUAGAGAAAGUGGGCAGUUUCCACUUCCCUCUUUUUUAUUGAAAUUAAGGCCACAUUUGAAUGAUUUAAAACAGAAUGCUGCAAUACAAAAAAGUUCAUUUACCGAAAAUCAGGGAUUUGUGUAAAUAGGAUAAUACAUAUGGCCAGUGAGGGUGUUCAUAAACCCCCUAUUUUAUAUUUUAUAUGAUGACUCUUGUGUAGCUCAAAGGAGCAGGUCCAAGCUAUCUGUUUGCUGACAGUUCAAAAGUAUCUGUAUAAUAUGUUGUUUCAUUAAUAGACACGUACUAUGCAGGGCAUGGAUACUAGGAGUAAAAUUUGAUUUACAAGAUUGGAAAUGUUUUGCAAGUAUUUUAGAGGUGUAGAAUUAUGAUGGUGUGGUAAUUACGCCUAGUAGUAGAUAUUUGUGGAUUUAACUUAAUAGUGUGCAUCUUUCUCAUGAUGAAUUUAGUGUUUUUGUAAACUUUGUGUUGAGCUAUUCUGCAAAAGUGGAUCCAAAGGUUUUCCAGAGUUUUUGCCUAUUGAGUUUUAUCUCUGGUUUUUUACCCUGGACCUACUUGUCGUAGAAUUGUUCAACACAAAGAUUUACCCCCCCCCCCCAACACUUUCUGCAGCGCGAAAUUGUUUUUUACCAUUGUAGUAUACUCAGUAAAUCAGAGACACUACAACAUGCAGAAUUUUUACUGAAAUUUUUAUUCUUAAACUUGCAUAUCUUUUUUGAGACCAAAUUUACGAUAUCUCUGGAAAGCGAUUCCGAAAUUAUGCAAUAUUUUGUGAGUGCGCGUCGGACAAAAAUUGGUCAAAACCAGAUUUUGUAUACAAAUUCAAUGCUUAAGGAAUUUUCUUACCUUAUUCAAUGUGCGAUUACAUUCACUUUCAUUAGCUAAAAUUGAUUUGGCAUCAUACACAUCAAAGUGUUUCUGCAUGAGACUAAAAAAAAUUAAUGAAAUGAUAUGCUGGCUGCGUUUUCAUUGCAACUACAUGUAUAUUCGCAAAAUGUUGAGGGGGAUUCAGCGGUCAUUCGAUGACUGAUGAGGAUUAGUUUUCUGCACCGCCAAAUUGUCUGUCCCGUUUUCAUUGUCGCAAUAACUUAACAAUGGAUCAAAUUGAAACUUGGUUAAAGUAUGGAUAUGGUAGUUAUGGUCUUCAUACGUACAAUGGAGGGACAUUAAUUUGAUUAGAUGUUGGGGUCACAAGUUGGAAGCUCACAAAGGUCAUUGUUUUAACUGAAAAUAUCUUGUUCUCUCAAUAGGAACCAUUUGAUGGUUCAACUUCAAACUAUUUUGUUUGUGCAAAUGCACGUGACAAAGAUCUGAUUAGAUUUGUAGGUCAUGGGGUCAAAGGUCUGAGAAUUAAAUAUCUUGUUCUCAAAAUGAUUGAAAAGCGUAUUUCCUGUACGCAUUUUGGAAGUACAAUUUUUUGUGAUAGUACAUGUAUAAUAAAUUUAGUAAGUAUUAAAUAUGAUGAUAAAAUAUGUUUGAGGGAUCAAUUUCAAAUUUGGCUCGAAUGUGCAUUUAUGAGGAAGGGUCUGAUCAGGUUAUUUGGUCACAAGGUCAAAAGUCAUACAGGUCAUAAAUUAAAAUUUUAGAAGUUAGAUUUGUAAUAUGUUCUUGGUCAGGCAAUGAUGGAGGCACACAUUUUUACUGCCUGCAAUUAAAGAAUUGUAUCUAGUUUUCCUCAAAUUUUCCAUACAUGUAGUCCCAGUAAUAAAUGGUGCCAGUUAUUGUUUCUCUUUUUUAGGAAACUCAAUCCACAGUAUACAGGGAGAGGUCUAAUGUUAGAAGGUGCUUGAAAGUCCUUUUAUACUGUCAGAUUAUAAAAGAUUUUUGAAAAGUUUAUAAAUCUAGCAAAACUGAUCAGAUCAAACAUUAAGUCGUUGAUGCGCACAUGAUUUGUAAUGUGUAGUCUCAUUGACUCACGCUAUUGAGCAUGUCUUUUGAGUGUGAUCCAACCAAUAAUAUGGUGAUCCAAUAUUUUUCACGUGCGAAUGGAAAUUUAAGAGCAAUCAUUAGUCACUCUUGAAAUCUUUGUGGAACACUUUUGUGAUAUUUCUCUUACAGUACAUGUAAUAUCAGAUAGCUUGGACCUGCCCUAUAGUGUAUUAUUGUCUGUACUAUAUACUUGUUUUGUAUUCAUGAUUUUAUCCUUUUUUUUGAACAAAUUGUAAGACCAGCAGCCAAGAAGAUUCAUUCAAGUUGGAGGACCAUAGCAGUUGACCUCAUCCCAUUGAUGGCAGUAGGCCCUGAUCACCUCGCAAACAUGGCUUCCUGUCUGGUUUGAGCUGGAAUCUUCCUGCCAGAAUCACACAAUUAGUGAUGUCACUACCAAGAGAUCUCUUUUUAAGUGUGCAGAGAAGGGCACUGGACACUGCUGUGCAUGAUAUACAACUUCCAUAAUGUAAGUGCUUUAUUGAUGAUUUCAAUGAUAUCUUUGGUAGCCUAGAGUAUGCAAGACAAUGCAAACGGUUUUCCAGCAAUUAUAGUAUUCUGAGGGCAACUACUAUUCUGAAAAUAUUGGGCAGAAAUAUCUAAAUUGCACUUUUAAAUUCAUGACAUUUUCUUUUUGGAAUGAAAUUCUUUUCAUGAAAACCCGUCAAAACAAUACCAUUACUCCACCCUCCUGCCCUCAUGUUUCACUCUCUUUGGUUUCUCCUUGAGUAUUAUCUGUUCAUCCAUGAAUUGCAGUCUCUCUUUUACCUCCCUGUACUAACCACUCUAGCUGUCACUCUGAAUUCAUCUUUUAUACACCCUCUCAACAUGUUAUUCACCAUGACUGAUAUAAUAAUGUGCUAUAAAUGCAUAUGCACAUUCUUUAAAAAGGCAAUUUGUGAUUACAUUUACAUAUUUCAAUCAUAUUAUUUGUUAAUUACAGUACCACAUGAGAAAGUGGUAUUAAUAAUUUUACAAUAUAAUUCCCUUUUCUGUACAUGUUAAUUUUUUGGGACGGACUAAUUUGAAUGAAUUUUUCGAUCCUCUCCCCGGUCGCUAUAAACCUCAUGUUUUUGCAAGCAUGUAUUCAUCAGGUUAUCACACAAUGUGUAGAGAUAAUGGACUGCUGCUUGGAAUGAUGUGAUUUGUGACCCAAUAUCGGUUCGUCUGCCCAAAUAUAUGUAUUCACCCAAAAUCAAAAGUAAAGUAUCAGGUUUUCACCCAUUGUUAUGAGGAUUGUACACUUCAAUGGUUGUUCCACAAUGUGUAAAAAGGGGGGACAAAAUUCCAAAUCAAACCUACCAAUACAUGUUAGUCUUGUAUCUAGUUUCAGGAGCACAAUGUCAAAAUGUCAGUUGCUUUUCAAGGAAUUUUACAGGAGAGUUGCUUAUUCAGUAUUUCGUGUUCACCCUCAUCGAUAUUUGCAAUUGGUCUUUUGCACGUUUGUCAAGUUUCAUCAAUGGAGCAGUUUAGCCAAGACGACUGUGGGGCUCAGAGGCAUUGAUUAAGACUGAUGGACCCUGAAAUGACGGGGGGGUACUAUGGCCCCCGUCAACGCUUCGUGCGAUAUUUCCGAAACGCAAAAAAAUAAUGGCACAGAAUUUUAUGAUUUUUUUCUCUUGCAAAUUUUUUAGACCAAAUUCGCAGCAAACGGGUAUAGCAUCAUGACUUUUUAUGAGACAAUGUCAUGCCGAAAAUGGCUCAUUUUUAUACUUAGUGUACUAAGUCAAUGUGAGAUGAAAUUCAUAAAAGGAUGAUGAUUUUUCAUUGUAAUUGAUCGUUGUAAUUUCGGAUUUCAUUUAGUUGUUAAAUGGUCUGUAAUAAUUUCCAUU